GGAUGGACGGUGACAAUACGGAUGGAGGAAGGAAUCAAUUUGGUGUUGGAGCAGCAAGAAUUAUUUUAAGUUUCUGAUUUAGGAGGUUCCUUACUAUCAGGAGUUAAGAAUAACCGACUAUUAGUGGUUUGCUCCUUAUUUUUUCACAGCCGGAGCAAUUUUUUCAGCUCGUCUGUCAAAGGACCAUGGUAAGUAUGGAAUCCUGAUCACUGCCAGUCAGCAUUUUUUUCCUGCUCUAGACAGAACUUUGGUCCUAUCCAAACAGUAAGGGGGAAAGGACCUUUACACUUCAAGAUAGGAGUUAUGAGAGGCUUGCAGCUUGUUUGUCUUAUCUGCAUGGGUAUUAAUGUUCUCUGAAGAAACUAUGCUUAAGGGAGACACUUUAUUUUGAAAUGAUGUGCCAGAUUUUGUUAGCUGCAGGAAAUGGAUUUACUCUAGAAUUUAAAGCUGUCUUACACAUUGAGUAGUUAAGACAGUGCAUAAGUAAAAUACUUAAAUCUAAAGAAGCAACCUUGUCCACAGACUGUAAUAAUUCCUAUUUCUAGAGAUGUUUUGUGCUGUAUUGUUGUCAGAUAUAUUAACUGGAAAAGUCAAUCUUCAGGUAAAGCUCAACGUGUCAACCUGAUCUAAGAACAGCACUGUGUGUAACUCAUCGUCACGUACAGGUUACAAGCUGAUGUGCUGCCUUCUGGCCUAAAUUCUGCAGCACAUUGUGUUGUGCAUUCAAGGAACCUGGUGACAACCAAGAUUUUGGAAGGAACUGAUGCUUAAGCCACACGAGUCUAAGAACCAAAGUUAGAUCAGUGGUUCUCAAGCAAAGGUAGAAACCCUUGCUUCCAGAGAACGCAGGGGAGUGUUAAGGACACCUUUGUAGU
Molecule: long non-coding RNA, 875 nt
Filed under: Rattus norvegicus (Norway rat)
Lineage: Eukaryota; Metazoa; Chordata; Mammalia; Rodentia; Muridae
Description: long non-coding RNA NONRATT028100
Source: RNAcentral